RNAcentral lists this small RNA (122 nucleotides) under Marmota monax (woodchuck). Lineage: Eukaryota; Metazoa; Chordata; Mammalia; Rodentia; Sciuridae. The record is from RNAcentral.
GCUGGGUGUGGCGCACGCCUGUAAUCCUAGCCACUCAGGAGGCUGAGACAGGAGAAUAAGGAGUUCAAAGCCAGCCUCAGCAAAGGUGAAGCUCUAAGCAACUCAGUGAGAUCCUGUCUCUA